UGAGGAAUAUUGGUCAAUGGGCGAGAGCCUGAACCAGCCAAGUAGCGUGCAGGAUGACGGCCCUAUGGGUUGUAAACUGCUUUUAUGUGGGGAUAAAGUGCGUGACGUGUCAUGCAUUGCAGGUACCACAUGAAUAAGGAUCGGCUAAUUCCGUGCCAGCAGCCGCGGUAAUACGGAAGGUCCGGGCGUUAUCCGGAUUUAUUGGGUUUAAAGGGAGCGUAGGCUGUCUAUUAAGCGUGUUGUGAAAUUUACCGGCUCAACCGGUGGCUUGCAGCGCGAACUGGUCGACUUGAGUAUGCAGGAAGUAGGCGGAAUUCAUGGUGUAGCGGUGAAAUGCUUAGAUAUCAUGACGAACUCCGAUUGCGCAGGCAGCUUACUGUAGCGUAACUGACGCUGAUGCUCGAAAGUGCGGGUAUCAAACAGG
RNAcentral lists this ribosomal RNA (424 nucleotides) under Verrucomicrobiota bacterium. RNAcentral describes it as "Verrucomicrobia bacterium partial 16S ribosomal RNA". It matches the Rfam family "Bacterial small subunit ribosomal RNA", at positions 355 to 776 of the family's 1533-position model. The record is from RNAcentral. Lineage: Bacteria; Pseudomonadati; Verrucomicrobiota.